Molecule: non-coding RNA, 387 nt
Organism: Engraulis encrasicolus (European anchovy)
Lineage: Eukaryota; Metazoa; Chordata; Actinopteri; Clupeiformes; Engraulidae
Source: the annotation of a RefSeq genome assembly
AUGGGGCUGCUGCUCCUGCAGUUGAGUGUGAUGUUUGUAUCACUGUGGUACACGUUUGGAGGAGGCAGCAGACUUGACGUGGGAAGUGACACCACUCCCAAAGUGACAGUGCUGCCCCCCCUGGACACCAGCGGGAGUUCGGCCACGCUCAUGUGCCUGGCUAACGGAGGCUUCCCGUCCGACUGGAGGCUGAGCUGGUCUGUCGCGGGGAGCAGCAGGAGCGGGGAGACCAGUCUCUGGGGCCCACAGAAGGACGGCCUGUACAGCUGGAGCAGCACCCUGACCCUCCCUCUCCAGGAGUGGACCCAGGACGUCCCAGUGACCUGCCAGGCAACACGGGGCUCCCAGACUGUCACCAAGAUCCUGAAGAAAUCAGACUGCUCCUAG